RNAcentral lists this small RNA (28 nucleotides) under Bombyx mori (domestic silkworm). RNAcentral describes it as "ovarian small RNA-2832". The record is from RNAcentral. Lineage: Eukaryota; Metazoa; Arthropoda; Insecta; Lepidoptera; Bombycidae.
UAAAGACUUGUACUGCCUGUGUUGCGGA